UUGCUUGGAAGCAGCCAUUCAUUUAAAGAGUGCGUAACAGCUCACUGGUCGAGCGAUUGGGCGUGGAUGAUACUCGGGCAUCAAGUAUAGUACCGAAGCUUUGGUCCCGAUAAGUUUACUUAUCGGGAGGUAGGGGAGCAUUCUAACAACGUAGAAGGAGUUGCGUAAGCGCUACUGGAGUGGUUAGAAAAGCAAAUGUAGGCAUAAGUAACGAUAAAGCAGGCGAGAAACCUGCUCGCCAAUAGUCUAAGGUUUCCUGAACAACGAUAAUCGGUUCAGGGUUAGUCGGGUCCUAAGGCGAAUCCGAAGGGAAUAGUCGAUGGACAACUGGUUAAUAUUCCAGUACUAACACCACUGCGAUGGAGAGACGAAAAAACGUAAACACGGCGCACUGACGGAAUAGUGCGUUUAAGCUUGUAGGGCUUUUUCCGGUAGGCAAAUCCGCCGGGAUUCUGAAGAGCGAAAGUACCUUGAGUCGUCAGACAAGAGGAUAAGCGUCCAAGUAUGUUUCCGAGAAAAACUUCUAAGCUUCAGGUGUGUGUUACCCGUACCGCAAACCGACACAGGUAGACAAGUAGAAUAUACUAAGGCGCUCGAGUGAUCCGUGGCUAAGGAACUAGGCAAAUUAACCCCGUAACUUCGGGAGAAGGGGUACCCAUAGCAAUAUGGGUCGCAGAGAAAUGGCGGUGGCGACUGUUUAACAAAAACACAGGGCUUUGCAAAAACGAAAGUUGAAGUAUAAGGCCUGACACCUGCCCGGUGCUGGAAGGUUAAGAGGAGAGGUCAUCGCAAGAGAAGCUUUGAAUCGAAGCCCCAGUAAACGGCGGCCGUAACUAUAACGGUCCUAAGGUAGCGAAAUUCCUUGUCGGGUAAGUUCCGACCUGCACGAAUGGUGUAACGAUCUCCGCUCUGUCUCAGCCACGAGCUCGGUGAAAUUGUGGUAUCAGUGAAGACGCUGAUUACCCGCAACGGGACGGAAAGACCCCAUGCACCUUUACUAUAGCUUAACAUUGAUUUCGGGUAAGUGAUGUGUAGGAUAGGUGGGAGGCUUUGAAGUGGUGGCGCUAGUCAUCAUGGAGCCAAUGUUGAAAUACCACCCUUUACUUACUAGAAGUCUAACUCCUCACGGAGGACAUUGUUUGGUGGGUAGUUUGACUGGGGUGGUCGCCUCCGAAAGGGUAUCGGAGGCUUUCAAAGGUUCGCUCAGUACGCUUGGUAACCGUACGUAGAGUGCAAUAGCAUAAGGGUGCUUGACUGUGAGACCGACAAGUCGAGCAGGUACGAAAGUAGGAUAUAGUGAUCCGGUGGUUCCGCAUGGAAGGGCCAUCGCUCAUAGGAUAAAAGGUAC
RNAcentral lists this ribosomal RNA (1348 nucleotides) under activated sludge metagenome. RNAcentral's name for it is "bacterial LSU rRNA". It matches the Rfam family "Bacterial large subunit ribosomal RNA", at positions 1102 to 2466 of the family's 2925-position model. The record is from RNAcentral.